AAGCAAUAAAAGAAGAAAAAAAAUAGAACUAACGUUUUAAGGUGAGUGACGGCAUCAACAUUGUUGAUGUCCAUUGACUCUCGUAAUCACUUAGCACCUAGUGGAUUAAUAAUAUUGUGAUUAAAUAUAUUUUUAUCAUCAAUAAAACGUAAUUUAAAAUUUAAAAUCAUUUAUUUAUUUAUUGUGACAGAAAAGAAAAUUGCAUAAUAUUAAACCUCAAAAUAUUGGGCAGAAUCAAAACUUACUUCCCGCUAAGCAACUUAACGUAGGUGUCACCAUAUUUGAUUAGAUCUAAAUUUCCGUUAGAAAUAAACUCAUCACCUUGAACCCAUAACAUUCCGUAUCACGAAAAAAAAAAAAAGAAACUAGUUUUUACACAAACACACCGAAUCCCUAGUUUACAGAUAACACAGCACGUGGUCUCGAAUCGAUAGGUCAUUAGCCCACAAGUGGGAGAGAGACUGGAGAUCGUGACGUCACGAGGUGCCUCUCACUCGGUCGCAAGGUCGACUCCCUUCGCUUUUAGGAUUCAUCACGCUACGCCUCUUCCGGGGUAAACGGUGCCAUGUUAAAUUCGCGAAUUCGAUUUUAGAAUCGAACCCAAUUGGUUACUAUCUACCUGAUGUGAACAUUAAGAAGUUUUUAUUAUGACUAAAUGUAAUUAAAAACGCAAUAUGACACAACUGCAUGCGGUGAGCUGCGCGAGUUCAAACUUCGAACACACAAAUGUGUGUUCGAAGUUUAUUUGUUGUGAGGUUGUCAACAUUUUUCCGGGGUCAACGAACUGUUAACGUAAAUCGUAUUACCACAUUAACGAACAAAAUAAAACAUUUAGAUUUCGAAUUUCGAAUUUGUUAAAAAACAGUAGGUACUAAUAUUAUAAUUUGAACGUGGAAUUACGGGAAUUCCAUUAGUGUUGUCGAUAACCGAGGAUUAUUGUAAUUUUUUUAAAUAUGAUUAUCAAAAAAGUUUGAAGAAAUAUUUCAAAAAAAAAAAAAACGCUGGAGUUUAGCAUCGAUUGCCAAAAAUUUCGCUAGUCUGGUAAAGCGGCAGAAUAAUAUCGCUCCGCGAUUCUACAUUCGAAACUAGAGUUCAACAGCAUUUCACCGAAAUCUACUUUGUUUGGGUCCUCGGGUCAACGAACCGGUGUGACGCCUGUGAGUCUGUGUGCGCGCGCCGCUGUGUCCGCACACGCCGACGCACGCACACACAGCCGGCACGCCUUGCGUACAACGCGCCUAAUGGGCAACUUUGUCUCUUAAUUACACGGUAACCGUACGCAUUUUUCGACUAAUAAUUAUUUAUUUCGGACGUGUGCGUCAGCCGUCGGUGGGUCGCGAAGGAAUUCUCCCUUAACUAUGAAAACUGAAAGGUUUUCGUCCGAACUCCGCGCGGGGCGACUGAACUAUCACUAUGAGCUAAGUUGAUUAUUCGGCUCGAGUGAAAAAAAAAUAUAUAAUUUUUUCGUGAGCCUCGCCGAAGAUUCGUCAAUGCGUCAGUAACGUUCGGGCCGCAGUGCCGUCAACAUCCUCCGACUUGCCAGUUGUCGUCGCGAGUCAGACUUGUGCACAACCUUAUAGUACAAAAAUUACAACGUACAAAUUUUUUUCUCUUUGCAGCCAGUGAGGUGAUCGCAACUUGUUUUUUUUUUUUUGUUUUUUUUUUUUUUUAACUGAAGUGGACAGUGCCUCGAGUGCUACAGUGAACGGGAUCGGUUUUCCAUUUACGUAAACGGAACGUGGUGGCGUCUAAACGUGUUCCAAAUUUAAAAUUUCAAAUAUCUAGUGACCGACGUAAAUUCGAUAUAUUGAGAUUUUGGUACUGAUCGAACGGCUCCGUUCGGUCGGCUAAAAUCGUUCUCUUUUCAAACUUCGAAUUGGCACUCUAACAGCUCUAUUUUUUUUAUUUUGAUUCGUUUAAAUUCUUUUUUUAAAUCAAAAUAAAUCCUUCCCUCUGCUUUGGUUUUCUCUUUACAGAUUUUGUGUAACUUUCGAGUUAUAUUCAAAGCAAAAGCUGUAGUGGAAACAAGUGAACACAGUAAACAAAUAAAACACAGUGCCUUAUGAUAUAUAAUGUUUUGAGACGAGAGCGAAACAUAAAAAACAGAAUCACGGAGACAAAAUGCCAAAAAACUUGCUACUCUUCAAAAAGAUAAUACCAGAAAUAAAUUUCGCUAAAAGGAAUCUCACAUCGCCGCUCGGCCGGAAUAUAUUUAUCAGUUAAACGACCGGCGCUGGUGAAACGCAAGUCAACAAAGUUGAAGAAACAAUCCGGGCAGUGCCAUAAAGUUUUCUCCAAGAUAAACCUUAUGGUGACAUAAACAAAAACAAAAAAAAAAAAUACAACCGCAAAACAGUUGCCUUAACGACAUAGUCGAUAUUAAAAAAAAAAAAAAAAACAAACACAAACACAAAAUCAAAAAAGGAACACCGAAUAGUGAUACUAGUGCAUAGCCGCGAUGCGAAUUCGAUUCGCGAAAAACAACCACUGGCCGAAAAUAACCUAAAAAGGUUUCUUUACUGACUUAGACAAUUGAAUUUCGUACGAUGAAUAACAACCAGUUUCCGGAGCUGUUUGGAUCUCAAUGGCCUCCGGACCAGCACGGGGGCCACUCCUCGGCCUCGACGAUGCUGCAUCAGCAGUCGCUUCCUCAAGGAAUGCAGCUGAAAAGGGAACCUCACACCGACAUCGGUGUCGGGAUGCACAAUCAAAUGGGAAUGGACAUCACUUCCGGUUCCGUAGCGGACAGCACCUCGCCGCCGCCGGGCAGCAGCGACGGCAUCUUCGGCUCAUCGAUAUCGGGCAUGUUCAUGGAUAAAAAAGCCGCUAAUUCUAUAAGAGCCCAAAUCGAGAUAAUACCGUGCAAGGUAUGCGGAGAUAAAUCGUCGGGGGUGCACUAUGGCGUGAUCACCUGCGAGGGAUGCAAAGGAUUCUUCAGACGAUCCCAGAGCACAGUGGUGAACUACCAGUGUCCUCGCAACAAGGCCUGCGUCGUGGACAGGGUCAACCGCAACCGAUGCCAGUACUGCAGACUACAGAAGUGCCUCAAACUCGGCAUGAGUCGUGAUGCCGUCAAAUUCGGUCGCAUGUCGAAGAAGCAGCGGGAGAAGGUCGAGGACGAGGUCAGAUACCACAAGGCGCAGAUGCGGGUGCAGGCUGAUGCGGCGCCGGACUCCGUGUACGACGCCCAGCAGCAGACGCCCAGCUCGAGCGACCAGUUCCACGGGCAUUAUAACAGCUACCCAGGAUACGGGUCGCCGUUGUCUUCGUAUGGCUACAACAACGCCGGGCCAGCGCUACCCUCGAACAUGAGCGGGAUGCAGCCGCAGCCCCCAGCUCAGCCCCCGUACGAGGUCUCAGGCGACUACGUGGACUCCACAACGACAUACGAGCCCAAACAGACAGGGUUCUUGGACGCAGACUUCAUAAGUCACGUGGAGGGUGACAUUAGCAAGGUGCUAGUGAAAAGUUUGACAGAGGCGCACGCGAAUACAAAUCCGAAGUUGGAUUACAUACAUGAGAUGUUCGGCAAGCCCCAGGAUGUUUCUAAGCUCUUGUUCUAUAACUCCAUGACCUACGAGGAGAUGUGGUUGGACUGCGCCGACAAGCUCACCGCGAUGAUCCAGAACAUCAUUGAGUUCGCGAAACUCAUACCUGGUUUCAUGAAGCUCACCCAGGACGAUCAAAUACUGCUGCUUAAAUCAGGUUCGUUCGAGUUGGCGAUCGUCCGUUUGUCGCGGCUAAUCGACGUGAACCGCGACCAGGUGCUCUACGGAGACGUGGUGCUACCCGUGCGGGAAUGCGUGCACGCGCGCGAUCCCAGAGACGUAGCUCUGGUGCAAGGAAUCUUUGAGGCUGCCAAGAGCAUCGCUCGACUGAAGCUGACCGAGACUGAACUGGCUCUAUACCAGAGCCUUGUGCUCCUGUGGCCAGAGCGCCACGGCGUGAUGGGCAACUCGGAGAUCAGGUGUCUCUUCAAUAUGUCCAUGUCGGCGAUGCGGCAUGAGAUCGAGGUCAACCACGCGCCGCUCAAGGGUGACGUCACCGUGCUGGAUACACUCCUGGCCAAGAUACCCACUUUCAGGUAACUAAUAAAUAAUAAUAACAAUAAGGCCAUGCCAUGUGGCACGUUUUUCGAAUCCUCCCGAUCCACUAACGGUGCUUUUAGGUACCUCAAGCACCGGUCACCGUUCUCGUCGAACCCGUCGCUUGCGACGAAGGGCUCGACGAGUAAAUUAACCCUCAGACACAGCCCACUGAGUUUCUCGCCGGAUCUUCUCAGUGGGUCGCGUUUCCGAUCCGGUGGUAGAUUCUAUUCUGCGAAGCACGGCUCUUGCUAGGGUCAGUGUUAGCAACGUCCUCAGGUUAGAGCCCCGCGAGCUCACCUACUAGUUAAGGUUACGCUGAAAUAGCCUCUCAAGGCUAUCAGCUUAGAUAGGAAAAUCAAACUAAGUUUAAGGGCUUUUAAUUGUCUGGUUUGGUUUUGAUUCUCGUCAAUUGUUAUUACAGAGAUCUCUCCCUGAUGCACCUCGGAGCGCUGAGCCGUUUCAAAGCGACGCAUCCGCAUCACGUUUUCCCAGCUUUAUACAAAGAAUUGUUCUCUUUAGACAGUGUUUUAGAUUACACGCACGGAUAAUUGCAUCUUCGGCACAUCGACGAUGACGGCUUUCACGGUAUUCACGUCCGCCGAUAAUAGAUGGCGUUAGUGAGCCGCAUUUUUUCUUUUUCUAAUUUAUAUACUUGACAGCUACUCCCGACUUCCCGGCAAAACUGAACGGGUACCGGAAACAAAAAAAAAAAAGAAGUUGCAUGCUAGUCUAUGGAGCGCGGGAGAGAUUGCAUGCGACAUGUUUAAUUUUUUUUUUUUUUUUUCGAAUUCAAAUUCGCGAUAAGGCUGCAGGUACGCGUUCAGUUUUGUUUGAUGUAUUUUUUAUUUUAUUUUCGUGUAUGUCUGCGCGCGUGCGGACGCAAUAUGAAUAAUGUUAAAUGUAUCUAACUUUGAAUGAAGAAAUAAUAAUAAUUAUUAUUAUAUAAAGGUAUAAAAUAGGAAUAGAGUUUUUAUUAAGAGAUAAAAAGUUUAUUAUGUAGUGAGUUUUAAUAUCACACGUAUUUCAUGGAAAUAAAUCGUAAAGUUUUUUUUUUUUAAAUAGGUCUUUUUUAAUUAUUUUUAACAGUUUUUUUUUUAAAGAAUGUAACUUGUUAUUUAUUUCAAAUGAUUAUAUUAUUGAUGUUUCUCUUUGUAGAUUUCUCGGUUAAGUUGUAUUAUAAGUUAUAAUUGAUACUGCCCAAUUUAUACUUCUUUUUUUUUUGUAAAUUUUCCAUUCUUCUUUUUAAUAAUCUGCUUAAGAAUACAAAACAAUCAGUUCGCAUUGUCUGAUAUAAUUUAAAAUCCAAUUAAAAUUCAAUUCAGUCCGCGAUAUGAGAACUUCUACUGAUUCGCGUUGGUCUACAACUGACAAUAAUCAGACAGCGGUCAGUCGAGUUUGACAAUAAGACUGCAUUAUAGGGGCUGCCUUUUUUUUUUUGUUGAAUCGUGAAUCGAUGUUACCAAAAGCGUCACACUGAACAAAAUUUCGAACAAUUAAAGUAACUUACACAAGUACACUGUUUAAGAGCAGGCAAUUAAAACCUUAAUUUGAUCUCAUUAAUUAUUCUUUUUGCACGCAACGUUUUCGGGUGCCAUCUGCGAAAUUAAAACAAAGCAUAAUACAUCUUCAAGUACACUUACACCACAAAAAAAUGCAUAAUAUUAUUUUAAAACGUUUUUUUUUUUUUUCGUUUUUAACUUUAUUUCUUUUUUUACGUAAAUGCUCGGUUUUCUUAUAAAAUUUUGAUACGAAUAUUUCGUAAUUGCCUGCUACGUAAUGAAAAAAAAAAAACCUAGUAAUAAAAUAACCAAUCAAAUUUCUCUAACACUCAAGGUCGGACGGCGUUCACUUUGACAGCUGUCAAAUCUGUCAUCUGUCAAAGUGUCUCCCCUCCGCCUUUAUAAUAAGUUUGUCGAAUAGCCUUACUAUAGACUGGUUUAUAUUAAUGUUAAAAAAAGUAUAUUAUUAUUAUAAUUAUUAUUAAAGAAAAAUAAUUAAAUCUUAACUUGUAUUUUGUAAAUAGCUAUAAAAAAAAGAAAUAUGUAUUUUAUAUUUAAUACUGUAAGGUUCGAUGGGUUAAUAUUAAUUUUUACAUUAUAUGUAUAGAAGCGAGAUACGACAAAGGAUCAAAACAAAAUUUUACACUAUCAGCGCUCGUGAGCUAUAUUUAAAAAAAAAAAAACGUUAAAAAGUUGUAUCGUGUGGAAAAUGUUGUUUUUUUUCCUUAUAUUAUAUUUAUAUAUAUAUAUUUUUUGUUAAAUAAAGCAAUCUGUUAUUGUCCA
Molecule: RNA transcript, 6370 nt
Organism: Bombyx mori (domestic silkworm)
Lineage: Eukaryota; Metazoa; Arthropoda; Insecta; Lepidoptera; Bombycidae
Gene: Hr3
Gene name: hormone receptor 3
Exons: 11
Source: RefSeq, marked provisional